AUGGCCGUGGGCGCGGCGAGCAGGCGGUACAUCGGGCCCCUGCUGUGCAUCAACCUCGUCAUGCACGCGGCCGUCCUCGGCAUCGCCGGCUGGUCGCUCAACAAGUUCAUCGACCGCGAGACGCACCGCCAUCUAGGAGGCAACACGGCGACGGGGUACCUGCUCGUCUUCUCGCUCAUGGCCGGGGUGGUCGGCGCCUGCUCGGUGCUCCCCGCCCUGCUCCACGUCAGGGCGCCCUGGCGCAGCGAGAGCCUCGCCGCCGCCGCCUCCACCGUGCUCGUCUCCUGGGCGCUCACCGCCCUCGCCUUCGGCCUCGCGUGCAAGCACAUCACUCUAGGGAACCGAGGAAGGCGCCUGAGGACGUUGGAGGCGUUCAUCACGAUCUCGACGCUGACGCAGCUCUUCUACCUGCUUCUGCUCCACGCCGGCGCCUUGAGCGGGGUGCAUGGAGUUGGACAGGCCUGCGGGAGCCACGGCGAAGCCUGCUGCCGCGAGAUCCCUCGGGGAGAGCUCGCCGCGGACCAUAAGACGGCGGGAGGGGUUCCGUCCCCGGAUGCAUGA
RNAcentral lists this ribosomal RNA (561 nucleotides) under Triticum aestivum (bread wheat). RNAcentral's name for it is "partial small subunit ribosomal RNA". The record is from RNAcentral. Lineage: Eukaryota; Viridiplantae; Streptophyta; Magnoliopsida; Poales; Poaceae.